GUAUUGUAUUGCGUUAAACGCGAUGUACAUUCCAUGAGACUUUAUCACUGUGUGUGUGUGUGUAAAGACAUAGAACCACAGUGGGAAGACAGAGUCCCCCACACCAUAGAACUACAGAGGGUGCACAGGGUGUGAGUGGGUAUGUAAACAGAGUGUGCACAUGCCCCCAUUUGAGGACCAGCAACAACUCGUGUUGACAGUUCAGUAAUGAUCCUUCCGCAGGUUCACCUACGGAAA
Molecule: unclassified non-coding RNA, 237 nt
Filed under: uncultured fungus
Lineage: Eukaryota; Fungi
Description: sequence contains ITS1
Source: RNAcentral